AGGACGAACGCUGGCGGCGUGCUUAACACAUGCAAGUCGAGCGGAAAGGCCCUUCGGGGUACUCGAGCGGCGAACGGGUGAGUAACACGUGAGUAAUCUGCCCCUAGCUCUGGGAUAGCUCCGGGAAACCGGGAUUAAUACCGGAUACGACCACUUUAGACAUCUGUUGUGGUGGAAAGAAUUUUGGCUAGGGAUGAGCUCGCGGCCUAUCAGCUUGUUGGUGGGGUAACGCCUACCAAGGCGACGACGGGUAGCCGGCCUGAGAGGGCGACCGGCCACACUGGGACUGAGACACGGCCCAGACUCCUACGGGAGGCAGCAGUGGGGAAUAUUGCGCAAUGGGCGAAAGCCUGACGCAGCGACGCCGCGUGGGGGAUGAAGGCCUUCGGGUUGUAAACCCCUUUCAGCAGGGACGAAGCGAAAGUGACGGUACCUGCAGAAGAAGCACCGGCUAACUACGCGCCAGCAGCCGC
RNAcentral lists this ribosomal RNA (473 nucleotides) under uncultured bacterium. RNAcentral's name for it is "SSU rRNA". It matches the Rfam family "Bacterial small subunit ribosomal RNA", at positions 26 to 518 of the family's 1533-position model. The record is from RNAcentral.